This 231-nucleotide ribosomal RNA is filed under the name uncultured bacterium. RNAcentral's name for it is "partial small subunit ribosomal RNA". It matches the Rfam family "Bacterial small subunit ribosomal RNA", at positions 26 to 288 of the family's 1533-position model. The record is from RNAcentral.
AGAACGAACGCUGGCGGCAGGCUUAACACAUGCAAGUCGAACGCCCCGCAAGGGGAGUGGCAGACGGGUGAGUAACGCGUGGGAAUCUACCCAGAUCUUCGGAACAACUGAGGGAAACUUCAGCUAAUACCGGAUACGCCCUACGGGGAAAGAUUUAUCGGAUCUGGAUGAGCCCGCGUUGGAUUAGCUAGUUGGUGAGGUAAUGGCUCACCAAGGCGACGAUCCAUAGCU